Molecule: long non-coding RNA, 480 nt
Organism: Spinacia oleracea (spinach)
Lineage: Eukaryota; Viridiplantae; Streptophyta; Magnoliopsida; Caryophyllales; Amaranthaceae
Exons: 3
Source: RefSeq, a predicted model, not a curated record
CUUGACUUAAAUUGGGCGGCUAAAUCACAAAAAAACUGGUAUUAUGUCAUAAAGCUUCUCCUUCCCCCCUCCUCCCAUUCGUUUCUCUCUCUGCUAACCCCUCUCUUCAACCAGAUCGGCAACUAUCAAUUUCUGGUAGCCGACGACGCGGGCUGGUAAAGUAUUCAUGCAAGGAGUGUCGAUUUAAUGGGCAGGAAGAUGAGUAGUACUCGAACGCGUGGGAAGUUUAAUUUGAAUGAAGUUGCUGAUAAUGAAGUGCGUAGCAGUUCAAAUAGUGAGGUAGAUGAUAGUGAUGACAUGGAUUAUAUCGUUGAAAAUAAUGGUGAAGAGGAUGAUGAACACAAUUCAAAUGUGGUGACCAAUACGUCUAUGAAACGGAAGAGGGGGCGUCCUAAGGGAUCGAAGAACAAACAGCAGAUGAUUGGUGAAAAGAAAAUUAAUAAAGAGAAAGUCGUGCUGGAGACGCGAGUAUUCAAGGUU